RNAcentral lists this ribosomal RNA (252 nucleotides) under uncultured bacterium. RNAcentral describes it as "partial 16S ribosomal RNA". It matches the Rfam family "Bacterial small subunit ribosomal RNA", at positions 524 to 776 of the family's 1533-position model. The record is from RNAcentral.
UACGGAGGAUGCGUGCGUUAUCCGGAUUUAUUGGGUUUAAAGGGUGCGUAGGCGGACGCUUAAGUCAGCGGUAAAAUUGCGGGGCUCAACCUCGUCGAGCCGUUGAAACUGGGUGCCUUGAGUGGGCGAGAAGUACGCGGAAUGCGUGGUGUAGCGGUGAAGUGCAUAGAUAUCACGCAGAACUCCGAUUGCGAAGGCAGCGUACCGGCGCCCAACUGACGCUGAAGCACGAAGGCGUGGGUAUCGAACAGG